CCCUUAGAUGUUCUGGGCCGCACGCGCGCUACACUGACGAAUGCAACGAGCUUAUAACCUUGGCCGAAAGGUCUGGGUAAUCUCCAAAUUUCGUCGUGAUGGGGAUAGAUUAUUGCAAUUAUUAAUCUUCAACGAGGAAUGCCUAGUAAGCGCAAGUCAUCAGCUUGCGUUGAUUACGUCCCUGCCCUUUGUACACACCGCCCGUCGCUCCUACCGAUUGAAUGGUCCGGUGAAGCGCUCGGACCGCGGCCUCUUGACGGUUUUCCGUCGAUUGGCUGUGGGAAGUUCGUUAAACCUUNUNAUUUAANGGAAGGAGAANUCGUANCA
RNAcentral lists this ribosomal RNA (327 nucleotides) under uncultured eukaryote. RNAcentral describes it as "partial 18S ribosomal RNA". It matches the Rfam family "Eukaryotic small subunit ribosomal RNA", at positions 1470 to 1796 of the family's 1831-position model. The record is from RNAcentral.